ACGUACACUCCUGCGGGAGGCAGCAGUAGGGAAUCUUCCACAAUGGGUGCAAACCUGAUGGAGCAAUGCCGCGUGAGUGAAGAAGGUCUUCGGAUCGUAAAGCUCUGUUGUUAGAGAAGAACACGUGCUAGGUAACUACUAGCGCCUUGACGGUAUCUAACCAGAAAGUCACGGCUAACUACGUGCCAGCAGCCGCGGUAAUACGUAGGUGACAAGCGUUGUCCGGAUUUAUUGGGCGUAAAGGGAGCGCAGGCGGUCUGUUUAGUCUAAUGUGAAAGCCCACGGCUUAACCGUGGAACGGCAUUGGAAACUGACAGACUUGAAUGUAGAAGAGGAAAAUGGAAUUCCAAGUGUAGCGGUGGAAUGCGUAGAUAUUUGGAGGAACACCAGUGGCGAAGGCGAUUUUCUGGUCUAACAUUGACGCUGAGGCUCGAAAGCGUGGGGAGCGAACAGGAUUAGAAACCCCAGUAGUCCCA
Molecule: ribosomal RNA, 476 nt
Filed under: uncultured organism
Description: partial 16S ribosomal RNA
Rfam family: Bacterial small subunit ribosomal RNA
Source: RNAcentral